AAAAAAAAAGAAUUCAGCAAAUCUCCUAGGAUUGUUGAGCGUACUAUUCAUCAACCACGCUCAUUAAUCUCAAGAAUGUCAACAGCAAUUAAUGCUCCCUCAAUAAUUCUUCAACCACGCUCAUUAAUCUCAAGAAUGUCAACAGCAAUUAAUGCUCCCUCAAUAAUUCUUCAACCACGCUCAACAAUUUAGCCGUACUAUUCAUCAUCCUUUCACACUAAUCAGCUCUCCUUAAGUUCAGUAUAAAUUCAUCCUCAUUCACCUUCUUCAUCACAGCAACAAAUCUACUCCUUCCAUCGAGAAAUCACCAAGCAUAAUCUCUUCAUUCCCAUUCCACAAACGUUCCUAGCAAAAAGAGGAAAGACUGCACUGCUCUUCAUCAUUCUCUGCCAAAGCAUUUUCAAGUAUCAGUUCAUUCAAACAAUAACCAACCAACAAAACCAUUCAAGGUAUUUCAUGCCAUCUCAGUUCACUAUCUUCAUAUAUGCAUUUCACUUUCCUCACUUCAUGUUUUAGAAAUUCAGAAAUAUAGGAUGAAGUUUAUUACAGAGAAACAUAGCAAAACACAUAUGCGUACAUGAUUAGCAUUCAACAGAAAUAGUUUAAUUCAUACAUUGAUACCUUUAUACUGCCUUUGUACUUAGAACCAAGUCAUGAGAAUUUCCAUCAGCAACAAAACGAAUUGAAAUACAAUAGUAGAGAGAUAGAACAAUAACUUAGCUUUUAGAAAGGCAUCGAACGCGGCCCUGCACAGUCGAGCCGCAACAACGGCAACUUCCUUGGCCUCAUCGGAGCCCGAGAACGACAGCAGCGACUCGCGGGGCUACUGCCCUGUUCAGUCGGACCGAGAGACGUCAAGUGGCGGCGACUCGCGAGGCUACCAGAGGGACGCGAGGACGAUGGUGCUGCUCACCGGUCUCGCUGCGACGACGGCAGAUUUGUGACAGCAGAAGGCCGACUCCAUGAACAGCAGCAGUCGGCGGUUUCAGGCGAGAAGCUCGCCUUGGUGCUCCACGAACAGCAGCAGUCGGCGGAGCUCUGCAACAGGAGAAGCAGCAGCCGCGACUCCGGGCGAGUAGCAGCAGUUCCAGACGGCUGACUCGGCGGCUUUAGGCGACGCGGCGCUCGCCGGAACCGUUGGCGGUGGAACUCGUGAGGAGGCGGCUUGAUUGUUGCGAGAAUAGAAAGAGAGAGAUGUAGCAGCGUUUUU
This 1210-nucleotide long non-coding RNA is filed under the name Salvia miltiorrhiza (redroot sage). RNAcentral's name for it is "long non-coding RNA (SMIL_LNC002570)". The record is from RNAcentral. Lineage: Eukaryota; Viridiplantae; Streptophyta; Magnoliopsida; Lamiales; Lamiaceae.